UUUGCUUUGUCUUGGGAAUUGUCCAGAAAUUGCUCCAAUGCUCUCAGAAAAAUGGCCAUCGGAACAUUCGAUGGUCUCAGUUGAUUUUCCUGUGGACUGUAGGCACCGACUGAUUCGACGAUAGCCAUUUGUUCCACACCGAAUGAGUCGAUGCUACUUUUCUCUUGUUUUCUUUGUUCCUUUUCUUGUCUUUGAUUGUCGUUGCUUCAUUAGGACCUAAAAUACCUUCAAUACAUAUUCUAAACACUUUGUUAGUCAUAAUGAUCGUGUUGUCACAUAAUCACUAAAAUCACAAACUAAUGGCCUAAUGGGGUAAUGUUCACUACAAUCUACCCCUUUUUGGUGAUUCAUGAUAACCCAAUCAAAACAAGUAUAAUUUUGCAAAAAUGUACCAAUUAAAGCACUUACACUUUGCUUGGAUGCUUACCAUGAUCCAACUUGCUCUUGAUCUCCACUUUGUUCAUUCUCAUUUCUUUCCCUUGACAUGCUUUUCCCUUUUUCUUGAACUUCUCCCCCCUAUGCAUGUUUACUUCUAGGCCUAUCUUGCUUUUAUUCCACACACCUCCCC
Molecule: long non-coding RNA, 568 nt
Filed under: Setaria viridis
Lineage: Eukaryota; Viridiplantae; Streptophyta; Magnoliopsida; Poales; Poaceae
Description: long non-coding RNA (SVIR_LNC004110)
Source: RNAcentral